UGGAUAGUAUUAUUAAUGAAAUUUAACGGAUUUGGCGGCAAGAUAGCCACUUAGAGGAACCUGCCCUGUAAACGAUGAGCCACGAUUAACCUUACUUUUACUAGAAUCCAGUUUGUAUACCGCUGUUGUCAGUUAGUUUCUUUAGAAAACUUUCGUACAUGAUAAAUUCAAUGACUUCAAGUAAAGGUGCAGCUUAUGUAAAAGAUAGAGGUGGGUUACAAUUAAAAGAAUAAUAUGGAUAAAGUAAAGAAAAAACUUUUGAAGGUGGAUUUAAUAGUAAAGUUUAAUAAGACUUGAUUAGAGCUCUAUCUUGUGUACACACCGCCCGUCGCUCGCGGGA
Molecule: ribosomal RNA, 340 nt
Rfam family: Microsporidia small subunit ribosomal RNA